This 253-nucleotide ribosomal RNA is filed under the name uncultured bacterium. RNAcentral's name for it is "partial 16S ribosomal RNA". It matches the Rfam family "Bacterial small subunit ribosomal RNA", at positions 524 to 776 of the family's 1533-position model. The record is from RNAcentral.
UACGGGGGGGGCAAGCGUUGUUCGGAAUUACUGGGCGUAAAGGGCUCGUAGGCGGCCAACUAAGUCAUACGUGAAAUCCCUCAGCUUAACUGGGGAACUGCAUGUGAUACUGGAUGGCUUGGAUUUGGGAGAGGGAUGCGGAAUUCCAGGUGUAGCGGUGAAAUGCGUAGAUAUCUGGAGGAACACCGGUGGCGAAGGCGGCAUCCUGGACCAAUAUUGACGCUGAGGAGCGAAAGCCAGGGGAGCAAACGGG